ACUGAGAGGAGAAACACUCAAAAACAGAGUUCAACGUAGAAACAAAAACAGAGAGGAACAGAGCCAAAAACUACAGAGCAAACCAAAUAAGAAUCAAGUAAUUCUAAUAACAAAUAUAUUUUCUAAUUUAAGUAAACCUUAUAUGAAUUACGAAAUUGAUAUACUCCCUAGUAUAAAUAUAGACUCGUGAACAAAAACUCUAUGCAGUCUUGAGGUUUUUACUUUGCUUCUAGAAAUCUUGAACUCCUUACUCUGCGAAGACGAAGACGAAGCUUCUUCUUGUUCAUCAUUGCUGCUUUGCUCUGCUUAUAUCGGUAGCCAUACUUGGUUCCUCUUUCGA
Molecule: long non-coding RNA, 340 nt
Filed under: Arabidopsis thaliana (thale cress)
Lineage: Eukaryota; Viridiplantae; Streptophyta; Magnoliopsida; Brassicales; Brassicaceae
Description: ncRNA (AT1G06067)
Source: RNAcentral